Molecule: long non-coding RNA, 8258 nt
Filed under: Cucumis sativus (cucumber)
Lineage: Eukaryota; Viridiplantae; Streptophyta; Magnoliopsida; Cucurbitales; Cucurbitaceae
Description: long non-coding RNA (CSAT_LNC001260)
Source: RNAcentral
AUCAUUCCAUUCGAUGGGACAAUCGAUGAUUUCCAAAACUCUUAGGGUUUCGGUGAAUCUUUGAGUCCAUUCCGGCAAUUUUUUCACUAUUGGAAGCUCUCUGAUUGUGAACCUCUGAAGCCUGAACUCCACUCCUUUCAACGUCAGUGUAAGUUUUUUGCAACUCCAAAUCACCAAAUUCUUUAGUGAUAUUAGCGAUCCUAUCUCGUUUGGCAACGAUUUCAAUGUCUUACAAUCGUAAAUCAUUAGGGUUUCUAGGCGUACGAGGCAUGACGGCUUUUUGAAUAGAUCUUGUAGGUUUUGGCACCCUCCAAUUGCGAGAAAUCGAAGAGAAGUCAUGGUUCCAACUCCAUUUUUGUGCAGACGAAGGUUGUUUGCUGUUACCCAGAGGUAUCUCAGGUUGGUCAAUUGCCUAAUAUCAUUGGGCAGUUCUUUAAGUGCGGAACAGGAUGCAAGAAUCAAGGUUUGUAAAUUUUUUAGCUUGAAGAUUGAAUUUGGUAGCCGCUUGAUUUUCUUAUUCCCUUGCAAGUCUAGGUAUCUGAGCUGUACCAGAUUUUCUACAGCACUUGGAAUUCCCUGUAGAUUUGCAUUGCCUAAAUGCAAUAGUCUUAAGUAUUUGAACUUGUCGAUGCAUGCAUUUGCUAGGAAUGCACUAGGGGGCACCUUAUCUCUUAUUGUGAAGGCUAUAGAUUGGGUUUUUGUGACUUCGAAUACCUGUUUUUGUGUGAGUAGACGUGCAAGUUUUUCAAUAAGAGGGUGCAAUUUAAACCAAUAGCCAAAACCAUAUUCCUCUAGUUCUUGUAGGAAACAUCUUGAGCAUAGUUCCUUGAAAUAAUUCUCACCUAUUUUUUCCAAAGAUAAGUAAUUCUCUUUGGGUAGGAGGUCGCUUGCAAUCCAUAAUUGAAUCACAUCAUUGGAAGACAAUAUGCGAUCUUUUUUUAAUUGGGAACAAUAAAGAAAACAACGUUGUAGGUGUGAAGGCAUUUGAUCAUAGCAUAAUCUAAGUGUAGGUAAAAUACUCUUAUUCCCAUCCUCCUCUUCCUCAUGUUCCCAUAACUUAUCGAUGACACCGUUCCACUCAGCUAUACUAGUUUUUGAUAGCAGACCCCCCAGGCACUUUAUUGCCAAAGGAACCCCAUGACAUUUCUGCUCAAUUACUUCUUGUAUUUUUGUGAGAUUUGGGAUUUGUGCUUCCUGUGUUUCUGUGAAAGCAUGAACUUUGAACAAAGACAAUGAAUUUUCCUUUGACAACCUCUCAACUUUGAAAAUUGUUUGAUGUUUCAUAUUAUCCUUGUUAACAUCUGAAGGUUUUGUGGCUUCUGGGGAUGGAACUACCUGGCUCUCGUUCUUGUAGAGUUUUUUUAGUCCGACAGCAUCAGCUAUUUUCUCAUUCUGAGUGGUCACUAUGAUUUUGCUGCCACGGUUUCCCAUCCCCAAUAAACUUUUAAAUAUGGAGCAAUUACCAAGGUUUUUGAUUGAAAUAUCUUGAAAAACAAUCAGAAAUUUUUUAUCCCUCAGAAAUUGUUGAACUGCAAAGCACAAUUGUUUCUCAGUCAAGUUAUCACAUGUUACUUGGCAAUGUGAAAAACUGAGCAUCUCUUUUAUCAAUCUCUGUGGAUCAAAUUCCUCUUUCACACAAAUCCACAAUCUUGAUGGAAACGUGUUCACCAGAUUGUUGUAAAAGAAUUUGGCAAGUGUGGUCUUACCUAUACCUGGUUCUCCAACUAUGUGGAAGAGCCCGUGAGUAGAUUUUUUGAAAUGAUCCAGAAAGUUAUGAUAUCGUUUGUCUUGGAAAACCUUGGGAGCAUUAGUCAACGAGUAAAGCAAUUGCCAACUUGGUUUCAUGAGUCUUGUCGAAACUUCAGUAGCACUAAGAAAGGAGUGUGUUGUCUCCAUGUUUGUUAGAUUGAAGCCAUACAUAUGGGAUGCAAUUUCAUCCAAAUCGUCGCAUAGUUUCAUCAUUUUUUUAGUUUGAUCAAUUUGACUGAAGUUAAAGGAAGGAAGAAAUACCCAUUUUCCAGUAGCCUCUUGUUUUUUGACUUCCCUAUUGGAUUCAUAUAGCAAUUCCUCAAUUUGUAAAAAUACACUUUGAAGCUUCUGUAGCCAAUCAUUUAGACAAUGACGAUAUUCUUCCUUUUCAGCAUCCUUAAGAAUUGUUUUAAGGCUCAACAUGGUAUACUGCAUUCGUCUCAGGUACAUUGGGAAUUUUUUUAGCUCUAUCAAGAUAUUUUCUGCUUGCUCAUAGAUGCAACAAGCCAUUCGUAUAUAUUUGGAAUAUGUCGUUUCUCUUCCUUUCAAUUCGUUGAGUUUGAAUGAUCUAUAGAUGAAGACAGUUAUAUAGCACCUACCCAUGGAUUCGUUGCAUUAUCAAAAAGCAAAGUAGCAUUAAAACUUACUUUUCUUUUGGGGAAAUGUAUAUAUUAGAAUAGGGACACUUACGCAAGUAUGUACAAAUACUUGUAUUUGUACACUAAAACUAUUAAUAAAGUCCAUUAGAAUUUAGAAAUAGUUUCUUUACGUUCGAUAUCCCACCCUCCAUUCUUGUACUAAAAAAAUUCAUUACAAUUUUUCAAUCCCACUACUCAUGAAAUGCUUCUUUCUAAAGUAGAUUUUAUUAACUCUAUUAAGUGUUAGUUCGACUAUGCUUAAGUUGACAUCAUCAAAUAGACCAUUGACGAUAUUUAACUUAAUUUGUUACUAGAAAAUUAAAAUAUGAAAGGCUUAGAUUAGUAAUUUACCACAAAUUUAGUUUUGAGUUUUUAAAGCAAAACUAGAAAAUGAUUUUAAUUCAAGAGAUAACAAAUAAUGGAAUUCGAUUCAAAUCCAUUCAAAUUUAAAGUCGCUAAAAAUCUGAAGAAAAUAGCCUGAUUGUAUCCCCACUAAGUUCAUAUUUUCUUUAUGUUUUUAUUCAUUUCUUAUUUUUAAUUUUGAUGCCGUCAGUACAAAACCUUUGGGUGGUUUUUUCUUCUUUUCUCUAUUUUGCCCAUUUUUAUUCUUUCAUUUAUACAAUAUAUUCAAAUUUCAAGAAAAUAACAAAUAAUGCUCUUUUUGUCUCUUGUUCCUUGUAUUUUUAGAAUAAAAAAACAUUUGAUUAUUCCUAUUAUUCAUUUCUAAACAUUUCCAUUUUUUUUUUGAAAACAACGAAAGGCAAGUUGGCUUUAUUUGUGCGUUCUUAUUUCUAAUUCCCCCCCCCCCCCCCCCCCCCCCCCCAAAUAUCAUUCUGAACCAGUAUGUAUCAAUAAAAGAAGAGAGAAGAGAUAGUUAGUAAAUGCGUCUCGAUUUUUUUAAUUAUAAAAAAGUACAUAAAAAUUGAUAUGAGAUUAAGAAAAUUAAAGGAAAAAUUGCAAAAACCACCUUUGAAGUACGGUGGUUGUUGCAAUUAGACCUUCAAACUCCCGUUUGUAAAAGUUGAACUCCUAAACUUCUAAGUGUAAAAAUUGGACCAUAGUAGAAAUUGGAUCCACAAAUGAUAAAAAUUGAACUCUUAAACUUUACAUGAAGGUUUAAUUCUUAAAAUUGAAAGUUUAAGGGUGUAAUUACAACUGUUAAGGGUAGUUUUUGCAAUUUGUCCAAAAUUAAUUCUUUCUAAACAAGUUUGUGGAUAUAAGUGAAGAACAAAGCUAAUACCAUUGUUGAUUCGCUUAUAGAAUUAAUAGAAAACUCAAGUGUUAGGUAAUUGUAUAUUCUUUGCUUUGAUAGUGGAGUCGAGAACAUUUUUAAUAUUCUUAAAGGUAACAAUCCUUCCUUUUACAAAUUCCAAGUUCUUGUAACUUGUUAUCUCCAAGGAACAAAAACUAUAUUCUUCCUCUGCUCUAAAUCAUUAUGAGAUACUUUUUUUUGUUGUUACUUUAAAUGUAAUUCAUUUGUUAGUUGAAAAAAAUUUAGGACUUACGCUACUAAGCGGAGAAAAUUUGAUAUUCAUACUAACUCUUUAAAGAUUAAGAAAGAACUGAACAUUCCAUUGUUAAGAGAAGAAAACAUUCUUUCACUUCUUUUAAACGCACCAUCAUUUCUAGGAUAAGAUGUUGAUGUAUCUUCUGGAGAAAUAAAGUUUUAUACAAGAACUUUUUGGAAAAAGAACACAUUUUUUAAUCUUGAGGUUUGACUUGCAUUGCAUAUAAGUUCCAAUUUUCAAACUGAUGAGGAGCAGGAAUUUAAGAAAUUUUGUGGUGGGUAAUGUAGCAUUCAUUAUAGGACAUGUUGUCUUUCAAACCUUGGAGCCCAUUCCUCUCUUUCUUCAUUCUUAAAUUUAUCUCCCAUCUCAAGAAGCUUUGUUCCAUUGUUCAUUUUCAUAUUUCCCUUUGAGUUUCGAUUUCAAAUACCUUAAUCUAUAGACGUGAUUUCACAUGGAUGGAAUCCCCUUUUUGUAAAGGGGGACGGCAGGUGUGUUCUUUCAUUUUUUUUUCCAAUGAAAGCUCUUAUUUUCAUUAAAAAAGAACAACAAAAAUUGUCUCCCAUCCUGAUCAACUUCUAAGUUGGAAUUGACUGUUGUCCAAGAAAUACUUUCACAAACAUUGUUGUAUCCAAAGGAUGCUUGGAAUAUGUCUCUCCUCUUAAGUUGGUACGUUCUCUGUAAAGGAAGUGAGUAAAUUUGAUGCAUUUAUUCUUUCUUUUGUCCUUUUUAUAUGGCUGCCUUUAGAAAGUCCUACUAUAAGUUUCCAACUUUGAUUUGUGUUGGUCUAGCAAAGCUGUUUGGUCUAAAUUUUAAUGAGGUUUUUGCCCUCCUUUCGGGCAGCUAUGGUGCGAAAGAAACUUGUCACUCCUUUUGAACACCAAACUAAGGGAGGUGUUUUGAGAUCUUGUCACUCUUUGUCCAUUCCUUGUUAAUUAUUUUGUAAUUUUAGCUUAUCUCAGAUUGUCUCUAGUUUGGCAUCUUGUUUGUAACCCUUUUGGUGUGAGGAGAUAUCUCAUCUCCUUCUCUUUUUGUAAAUCACCUUUUGAUAAUGAAAAGUUUGUUUCUUAUAUAUAGAUAUAUAUAAAAGGAACAUUUUUUUAUGGAUGAAUGGUGUAUAACUUCAUACUCCAUAACAAUGCUUGUUUGCAAAGCGCAAGGCGCGCUCUAAGACACAAACUUUUUAAUCGCCUCAAGGCGAUGGGUGACAAAAAGAUGUUGCCUGAUCGAAGCGAGGUACAACUAUUAAAAUAAUUCAUAAUAAUAAUAUAAAUGAAAAAUACAUAAGAUGAGAUAAUAUAAAGAUAUAAAUUGCAAAGAAGAGACAAGACCUAAGGAUUCGUGAGAAUCCGAACAUUCCAACCAAGUUGACACCCUUCUAAUUUUGUUAUUUUAAAUUGAUUAACUUAAUUAUUUAGAAAUGUUUGACUUAAAAAUCAAAUUCUUUGGAUAGGAUUUUGAUAAUGAUUAACUAAAAAAUAAAAUAUAUAAAAAUUUACCUAUGUUUGAUUAUGUUUAAUAAUAUCAUACUUCAUUUAUCUUGAAUAUGACUAAUUUGUAAGUUAAAUAUUUUCAAUAUAGCUCAUUUUAAAUCAAAUAUAAUUUAAAAUUAAUUAUUAAAAAAACUAUUUCAAAUUAAAUUUAAAUUUAAAUUUAAAUUUGGACCACAAUAAAUAUAGUUUAUUUUAUUAAUAUUAGUUUAUUAAGUUUUAAAUUCAAGUUCAUCUCAUUUUCAAUUAUUUCUUUUUUUAAAAACUAUUUUUUCUUCAAUUUUGAAAUUGAGAUGGGACUAAACUUAAAAUUAUUAUAAUUAUUAUUUUGCAUAUUCUUUCAAUUAUAUGCAAAGAUGAAGUAGCCUUGCAUGGGUCUACAAUUAUUUAUUUAUUAUUAUUCUCUUCAUUUUUCUUUUUCUUUUUGUUAGAGUAACUUUAAGCUAAGUGUUUUUCCUCGAUAAUUUAAUGUUAAUUUUAAUAAUAGAGAGAAAAGUUCAUAGUACAAGAAAAUUGUAUAAGUUAGUGCACCGGACAUCUCAACUAGGUUGACAUCUUUAUAGCAUCUUCAUCAUUUUAUUAAUAUUUUUAUUUUCAAAAAAGAAAAAAUUAAUUAUAUUUUUAUAUAGGUGCCUAAGAAUUAUUGCAUAAAUGACUUUGUUACUACUAGAUUAGUUACAAUCACACUCAACUUUUAACUUGACCAGUCACUUUUGUGGUUUGUCAAGUGUUGUAAUCGGGCUUUACACUUGUGACUUGUUAAUCGAUAAAAAACUUUUCCUCAUUCAAAACAUGAAGUCUCAAAGAGGGAAUGUUGAAGAAAUCUUUUGAAUAGCAAAUGAGAGUUGGAAAAGUAAAACUCAAAGAGAAAAGAAUGGAACAUUCAUCUUCGAACUACUUUUGAACUUUUGAGUUGUUCUAACCUUGCAAAUUCCGUAUUCAAAUUCUAAUAUUCUGUCAUGUUCAUUGUUUUUUCUUGAGUAAUUCACUAAUUGUAAAAGCUGUUUUUCUUUAACAAUUAAAUAGACAGCCAUUGUCAUUGUUGGCAAUGAAUAUUGGUUACUUUUAGUAUGAAGGCAUUUAUGAGUUUCUUAUGUGAUGGUUGAUAUUGCUACUAUGAAUGAGUUAUGAGUUCCUCAUAUAUUUACUUUAAUUCUUUUCUUUUUAUACUCUUAUAUCUUAUGUAUUUUAGAGAUGUGGAGUACCUUUCAUCUUGUGUAGACAUUAUGUGUGGGUUAAUUUACCUUACAAUGGUAGUGGUUAAACAUCCUAUGUUAGGGGCAAUUAUUCAAUUUUUUUUAUAAUUGGAGUUUCAAUAUGAUGUCUAUAUCUAAAAUCGAGGACAUAUCGAGGGAGGUAUGUGUAUUAGAAUGGAGAAAGAGUGUUAUUUGGCUUCAUGGGUGGACUUUGGAAGGGGUUAAACUUGUGUACACUGAUCAAGGAUUAACAUAUAUGUCGACAUGUGUAUAUCUAUAAAAAUAAAUUUUAUAAGUUGCAUGACAUAAAUAUCCAUCAAUAUUGAUAUUUUAUCGAUACAUCUGUGAUAUAUUUGUUAAGGUUGAAAUCUCAAUAUCGAUGUUUUAAUCCUUGAUACUAAUGAAAACGAAGUUGAGUCUUCUAAACUUGUGAAGCUUUUUUCUCUCUCUUGGGAACCUCUAAACAUGUGAAAUUAAUUAAUAUUGAGCACUUGGAAGCCACCUUAAAUAAGGUGGAACAUCACUUUAGAUGUUCGAAUGCAUUAACAAUGAAGAGAUACAUAUGGUAAAAGAUAUAGAUGUUGAAGAGAGUGAUACUAGUGAUAGAAGUGUAGCCUUGAAGUUCGAAAAAUCAUAGAUAGUGACCAUGAAGGCGUAGGACACACUUUCCCAUUUUAUUAUCAUUAUUUUUUAAAAUACAUAAUUGAAAGUGGAGGGACUUGAGCUUCUGACAUGUUGAUCAAGAGUCUUUUGUUUUUCAGCUGAGCAUAAUCCUUUCAAGUGAUUGAUGGUACAUGAAGAGUAAAUAACUAAUUUAGGAAAUGUUUGGAGCAAGAGGUGAAAUAUUGAACUUCCAGGAGCUGUAAAGUUGUGUACUCUUAUGAUCCAAGGUAUUACAAUUUUUUUAGUAGCAGAGCCCACGAACUCUUUACGCUAAAUAAGAAGUGGGGUUCACGUACUCCCCAACUUCUACUCCCACUACUUGGUCCAAACAAUCUCUUUAGGCUUUAUGUGUUUGGCUCAAAGAUUUUGCGAGUUCAUGUACUAAAAAGAUAUAAUGUAUUUUUAUAUUUUUAUUCAAACUCCUUUCAUAAUGGACCAUAGAAGUUCACAAUUCUGCUCUUUCUUCCCAACCGCUCAUGCAUUUGAAUGGAUGAAUUAAUAGAAGUUACCUGUCAUCUGUACUUUCUUCGUUACCAUUGGACUACGCCGUACCAAAUUCCCAGUGAUGUCUACAGCUCCUUGAAUUAUCUUACUUUCAACUGCUUUGUACAUUUUGAUUCCCUCUUCCUCCACUUUGAUGGGACAAUCGAUGAUUUCCAGGACUCUUAGGGUUUCUGUCGACCUUUGAAGCCAUUCAGGCAAUUUAUUCACUUCUGGAAGCUCUCUGAUUGUGAAUCUUUGGAGGCUGAAAUCGACUUUCUCUAAGCCCUUCAGUGUAAGUUGUUUGCAACUCCAUAUCACCAAAUUCUGUAACGAUAUUAGAGACCCCAUCUCGUUUGGCAACAAUUGCAAAGAGUUACAAUCGUAAAUCAUUAGGGUUUCAAGGCGUACAAGGCAUGAUGGCCGUUCGAAUAGAUCUUGAAGUUUGUCACAUCCUCCAAUUGCGAGGAAUCUUAGAGAAGUCAUGGUUCCUACUCCAUUUUUGUGCAAACGAAGCUUGUUUGAUGUUACCCACAG